GACGAACGCUGGCGGCGUGCCUAAUACAUGCAAGUUGAGCGCUGAAGGUUGGUACUUGUACCAACUGGAUGAGCAGCGAACGGGUGAGUAACGCGUGGGGCAUCUGCCUUUGAGCGGGGGACAACAUUUGGAAACGAAUGCUAAUACCGCAUAAAAACUUUAAACACAAGUUUUAAGUUUGAAAGAUGCAAUUGCAUCACUCAAAGAUGAUCCCGCGUGGUAUUAGCUAGUUGGUGAGGUAAAGGCUCACCAAGGCGAUGAUACAUAGCCGACCUGAGAGGGUGAUUGGCCACAUUGGGACUGAGACACGGCUCAAACGCCGACGGGGGGCAGCCGUAGGGAAUCUUCGGAAAUGGAGGAAAGUCUGACAGGGCAACGCCGAGUGAGUGAAGAAGGUUUUCGGAUCGUAAAACUCUGUGGGUAGAGAAGAACGUGGGUGAGAGUGGAAAGCUCAUCAAGUGACGGUAACUACCCAGAAAGGGACGGCUAACUACGUG
RNAcentral lists this ribosomal RNA (497 nucleotides) under uncultured bacterium. RNAcentral's name for it is "partial 16S ribosomal RNA". It matches the Rfam family "Bacterial small subunit ribosomal RNA", at positions 28 to 507 of the family's 1533-position model. The record is from RNAcentral.